GAUGAACGCUGGCGGCGUGCCUAAUACAUGCAAGUCGAGCGAACGGACGAGAAGCUUGCUUCUCUGAUGUUAGCGGCGGACGGGUGAGUAACACGUGGAUAACCUACCUAUAAGACUGGGAUAACUUCGGGAAACCGGAGCUAAUACCGGAUAAUAUUUUGAACCGCAUGGGUCAAAAGUGAAAGACGGUCUUGCUGUCACUUAUAGAUGGAUCCGCGCUGCAUUAGCUAGUUGGGAAGGGAACGGCUUACCAAGGCAACGAUGCAUAGCCGACCUGAGAGGGUGAUCGGCCACACUGGAACUGAGACACGGUCCAGACUCCUACGGGAGGCAGCAGUAGGGAAUCUUCCGCAAUGGGCGAAAGCCUGACGGAGCAACGCCGCGUGAGUGAUGAAGGUCUUCGGAUCGUAAAACUCUGUUAUUAGGGAAGAACAUAUGUGUAAGUAACUGUGCACAUCUUGACGGUACCUAAUCAGAAAGCCACGGCUAACUACGUG
Molecule: ribosomal RNA, 497 nt
Filed under: uncultured bacterium
Lineage: Bacteria
Description: partial 16S ribosomal RNA
Rfam family: Bacterial small subunit ribosomal RNA
Source: RNAcentral